GUCUGUCCAGGCCUCGCCUGUCCGUC
RNAcentral lists this non-coding RNA (26 nucleotides) under Cricetulus griseus (Chinese hamster). The record is from RNAcentral. Lineage: Eukaryota; Metazoa; Chordata; Mammalia; Rodentia; Cricetidae.